This is a long non-coding RNA of Prionailurus viverrinus (fishing cat), 245 nucleotides long. RefSeq lists it as uncharacterized. The record is from RefSeq and is a predicted model, not a curated record. NCBI's taxonomy places the organism in Eukaryota, Metazoa, Chordata, Mammalia, Carnivora, Felidae. The transcript is spliced from 3 exons.
UAUGGGGAAAUGCAGAACUUGAGAGAAGCUCUCCUGCUCCCAAGAAGGAGGGAAACCUAGACGUUUGGAGUCUUUCAGGAAGUUAUUUAAAAUCAAGAGGUGGAGAAGAGAGCCCAGAAGAGCUACAGAGGGAGAGGUGGAUUGGUGUUGAAAGUUUUUGCGAUGAUGCAGGUGGGUUUCAAGUUCAAUUGAACUCAUUCACGUCAAGGAGUCAGAAGAACGAUGGCAUUCUGGCUUGUAGAACG